UAAGUUGGAAGUUUAUGUGAGCUGC
RNAcentral lists this non-coding RNA (25 nucleotides) under Drosophila melanogaster (fruit fly). Lineage: Eukaryota; Metazoa; Arthropoda; Insecta; Diptera; Drosophilidae. The record is from RNAcentral.